RNAcentral lists this long non-coding RNA (325 nucleotides) under Fukomys damarensis (Damara mole-rat). RNAcentral's name for it is "lncRNA (ENSFDAG00000026718.1)". Lineage: Eukaryota; Metazoa; Chordata; Mammalia; Rodentia; Bathyergidae. The record is from RNAcentral.
CCCAGAGUAGACACUGGCAAAUUAAAUGAGUGAGUGGAUGUGGCAGACACCAUGGCGGGCAGACUUCAUCUCCACCCUCCAGAGGUGCAGGAUUUGGGCUGGAGAAUCACCACACAAAGCCGAGCCAGACACCAGGAGGCAGCGUCAGUGGAAAGUCUACAGGGAGAGCUGUGGCCCCAGGAGCAGGCAGACGUGGAUGAGAACAGAGGGCCGGACUGUGCCAGGCGAGCUCAGGGCAAAAGUCAACAUCAGCCGCCUGCAGGUCCAGUGUGAGGAGCAUCCGGAGGUGACAUUUACUAACGGCACGUGGAGGGCCAGCCUGGGA